This 26-nucleotide ribosomal RNA is filed under the name Nesobasis sp. 10 JHS-2009. RNAcentral describes it as "partial 28S ribosomal RNA". The record is from RNAcentral. Lineage: Eukaryota; Metazoa; Arthropoda; Insecta; Odonata; Coenagrionidae.
GCCGACCUCAGAGCAGGUGAGAUCCC